This 291-nucleotide long non-coding RNA is filed under the name Mytilus galloprovincialis (Mediterranean mussel). Lineage: Eukaryota; Metazoa; Mollusca; Bivalvia; Mytilida; Mytilidae. The record is from RNAcentral.
AUUCAAUGUUAUGCAAUUUAAUGAUAUUUUUUUUUUUAUUUAAUACUCCAGCCUUCCCCCCUAAAAAAGUUUGAAGAUGAUAAAAGGCUCUUUAAGAUAUUUUAGAUAUGACAUCAUUAACCAAUAAUUAGUGUAUUUUGCUUGUCAGAGGCAUUAAUUUUAGGACAAGUUUUUGAUCAGAUUCGACAGGCAUUUUUAUCUUCAAAAGGUUAAAUUCCUUAAAUAGUGUUUAGCAUUAUAAGAGUACAUCCAUUUAGAACAUUUCAUUCUCCAUACUUGUAGUUCGGGAAA